AAAGUCAAAAAAGGACUUAAAACCCUGCUUCCCAUGCGGGUAGCUUAAACUAGACGUGCGAGUUUCGUGCUGGAGGCGCACGGGUGCGUGGGUCACAUGUCUUGGCCGCACAAGGUACAUGGAAUGGACACACAGAUCUCCAUUGCGCGCGCAGACUCCUUGGCGUGCGCCUAGACGAAUAUGUAUAUGCGUUGGGUUGUGCAUGCGUCUAAGCAUUGUUGUGCGCACGCCCCCUAGGUUGCUUUAUGUAGGAAAAGGUCCUGCAUGUGCAGGUGAUCUUUCUCGCAUAUAUGUUGGUUCACACAU
This 306-nucleotide long non-coding RNA is filed under the name Carica papaya (papaya). RNAcentral describes it as "long non-coding RNA (CPAP_LNC011912)". Lineage: Eukaryota; Viridiplantae; Streptophyta; Magnoliopsida; Brassicales; Caricaceae. The record is from RNAcentral.